AGCAGAGCUGGGAGGCUGAGAGGACAGAAUCUGCGUAAAUGUGGUGACUUCAAUAGACCCUAAUAGGAAGCUCAAAUAAUACAGUAUAUGUAUAACAGCAUUUCAGCCAGGGAGGAAGAAAAGAACCUGACUACCGAACCAGAAGGGAAAACUGCUACACACCGCCCUGGUUAUUAGGCACAGAGAAGACAUUUUUGCCAUCCUCAUGGAACUUUUGAUCAGAAACUGGUCAGACAUUCCCAGAGUGGUUGAGAGCCUGUCAAGGUCACUGCCAAGGACAAGAGAGUCAAUUAGUAUGCAGAUCAGAGGCAAGGAGUUCAAAGUCUCUUCUCUUACAUAGUGUCAAGAUGGAGAGAGCAUUUUGCUGAUCUGGGUUAUUGUCUAAGGGGCCUCACUUAGAAGAAAGUGUGAAGAUGAGAGAAGAAGAAGGGAACAAAGGAAUGGUGAUGCUGGCAUUGGAUGAUUACAGUUCUCUUCCCCGAGAUGUUCAGAGUCUGAAUGACCUUGAAAAUUCAAGAGCGAAACUCUGAUACCACAACUUCCUCUUUCCUCCACUGUUUGUGUAUCAGCACACUUCUAGUUUGCUGCUGACCAGAUACUAUAGACCAUGGCUGAAUCCUCUGACUUACUCCUAUGGAGUUCAGUGAAAGCAAAAUGGAUCCAGGCAUCUAUCAUCUCCUACAAGGGAGUUUGGUAACAUCAGGAGGUGGCCAGUAUCAUGAAGCCAAAACACAUGUGCUGCUGCACUGAAGAACCACGUGGCAAAUAUAUAAAAGCAUGGCCUGCAGCAUUCCACAGACACAGAAACCUUCAUGGAAUUUUACCAGCAUCAGGAUUGAUUGCCAGCUUGAGGAUUCUCUAUUGGCAGCAGGUCCAAGAGGGACACCGCUUCUUUCUCUAGAUCCAGUGAAAGUGUACUACAGGCUGGCUCUGGAGGCAGCCCGACUGCUGCAGAAUCCUCAAAUCCCUCUCUCAGAAAUGGACUUGGUAGAAUCAUGGAGCGAUCCGUGUUCUGUAUUUAAUCUUAGAUCAUGAGAAAAAGUUAAAUACUGAAAUGGGAGGCUCAGAUAAAAGUAUUAGCAACACCAAGUAGCUCAAAAAUCAUGAGUUACCCCCCAUCCCCCAAAAUAUCAUGAGAUUGGUUUAAAAUAUGAGAUUUUUAAAUUAUAUAAUUUGGGGGUCCUUUUUAUUUGCUGCCUUGGAUUUUGAAUCCCUGGGCACGCUUGGCUCACAUUUUCUAGCUUUUCUCUUCCAGCAUGGGGGCUAGAAACUUAUUUUUAUUUUAAAUGAAAGCUGAGAUUCUUUCCUAAUCACAUGCCUCCAGGAGCAGGCGCUUUAAGAAGAACAUCAACUAUUGCAAGACUCACAAUAAAAUCACAAGCGUUGGCAACACCAGAAAUGGCUUCGCUUCAGCAAGAGAGAAAAUCCAUAGGUAAAAUUGUUAAUUAGUCCUGGACAAAUGAGGGCAUUAAGGAAGCAGAUACUUAGAUGUAAUCAGGAAUGAGUAGGUGAGAUGCUUGUACAUGUACAGAAAUGUAAGAGAAGCUCACAUAAUCAGGGACGAGACGAUAAGGUAUAGCCUACCUCACCCUGUGUCACCCAUAGGGGGUGGAAUACAGUUUUAUUGAUAUGAGACUUGUUGACAGGCCCAUGGAGCAUAAAUGCACCAUCACAUCACUCUGCUGCUGUACUUAUUAGUGUUUGAACCAUUGAAAAGGUCAGCAGACUGGCUGAGAGAACAGAGGUGGUGGUGUGAUUAGUUUUUUUUUUAAUCCACUUGGUGUGGACAUUUUUUCCUUCUCUCUCCGCUGUCCCUCUUACUCCUUUUUUAGUUUUAAUUAUCAACUUUUUUCCCCGAAGAGUCUUUUUUGGGGAGGAGGGGGGUUGUUGCAUUUUUAAAUCAUUCAUAUGUUCAACUGCAGUAGGAGAAUGCUAUUUGAUUCACUUCCAAAAUGAAGGGCUUUUUAAAAAAAAAAGUUGAAGUGCUCCAAUAAUUUUAAAUUGUUCUGCAUAGUGCAUGCCCAGAACUCUGAUCCUUUCCAAAUGCAAUGCUUCACUUUUUUUUUUUUUUAAGAGCACUUCAUUUUGGAAGUGAAUUAGGGUGUUCUGGGCACGUGCACUGUAGACCAAUUUAGGUUUCCUAGAUUGCUUCAAUAAUUUGAAGAGUACUCCAGUCACUUUUAACUAUUCUCCACUACCCGUGCCUGCAACUCCAGUCAUUUCUGAACUGAAGCAAUUUUAUACUUAGGACAAAUUCUGCUGUUCAACUGAAAUUGUUCCAUACUGCAUAUUA
This is a non-coding RNA of Chrysemys picta bellii (western painted turtle), 2293 nucleotides long. Lineage: Eukaryota; Metazoa; Chordata; Testudines; Emydidae. The record is from RefSeq and is a predicted model, not a curated record.